UUACUUAAAAGAAUAUGAUUUUCUGAAAUACUAACUAUCACAUUAGUAAUCAAUUUAUAAUCUUUUCAAUCAAAGGGAGCUAGAAAUUUGAAUAUGAGUUCGGCAAAUUCACUAGCUCAAUAAUGUUUGCUUGUUCAAAAUUCUAUUAUUAACCCUUGAAAUCGUUCACAUUAAAUUCAGAACUCAUAAAAUUAAAAUUCUAAUUUUUUUUUCGUCAAUUGACAAUACACUUAGAGUGGAAUUUCCAUGAAAGUGAGAGAUGAGUAUGAAGAGGAAAUCACGUGGGUAAAGCUUUCGACAAUGGCGAAGAAUGGGCAUUUUUUUUUCCUUAUAAGUUGAACUUUUGCAGAAGAAAAAAAGAAUCAGUUGAUUCUGAUAUGAUAGAAUAUUUUAUGGAGUUUGGAGGAAUGCAUUUUGUGAGCAGUUUAAAAGGAAUCUAUCACAACCUUCACUUAAAGUGGCGAAAAGAAUCACAACUGUUUUGCUGGCAUGGUGGCUACUGGCUAUGAUGAUAAGUAACUUUUGUGAUCUCAUGGUUUGCUUCUUAUCAUUAAUCAAUGUUUAAGAGUUUUUAAGUUCUUGAUGUUCAGCAGACGUUUUUGCACCGUGAAAAUGGUUGGUUAAUAACGUAGUUUUAUUAGAACUUGUACCUGCUACCUCUCAUCAACACAUGUACCAAGUGACUGUCUAUAAGGGCUUAAACAUAUUGAACUAGAAAGACUUAAAAUAUCGAAAUAAGUUAUCUAGAAUUCCUUCUUCUUUAAUGUGUUUCUAUACAUAUAUAUGUUGGAAAUUAUGUAAAAAAAUUCUUUCUUUAAGUACUCUUUUCUUAAUUUUUCGAGGGACCACCUCAGCUUCUCCAAGGGAAAGGAUGAACAGAGAGGACUGCGCAUUGGGGAGCUUUUCUCCUCGCAAGGGGCGGAGGCUGGAUUCCAAAAAUGCUAAAAUGUCACAUCUGAACCAGCUUUAAAGAACAUAAGGAAGAAUCAAGGUCUGCUGGUCAUAGGUAUUAUGGUGUUGCUUUGAGAAGGAAACUGUGACAGAAAACUGUUUGUGUAUAAUUUUAAUUUUUUUAAUGAUUAUUUUCAAUAUACUUCAUUAUGAAUAUACCUCAUAGAGAUUUGUUAGUGUAAGACUUCAAUCCUAUAAAAAAAAAAAAUUGGAGUCUUGACCUGACUCUACUGUACAGGAAAUCCAUCUAUCUUAUAUUUGUAUGGUUUAGCUUUAGUUGUUUUCACUAAAUAGAUUCUUUGAGACCAUAUAUUCUAAUAGAGCUAGAAGCACUUCAUUAUAAUGUUUGUUUCUACAAAAGCACCACUUGUCUUUGGUUUUUAUUCGGUAUUCAGUACUCGCUUUGAAUCCCCGAAUUAGGAAAAUUUAUUUAUCUAAAGGUUGAAGAACUCUAUCCAUCUCACCACAGCCCAAAUGGUUGGACUCACCACUUUAGAGCCACUUCAAUUCAAGCCAAAGACCUACCUUAUCUUUGUGAGAUUUGAAUUAUAUGUGCCUAAGUUAGUGGAAAAUGCACCAUUAGGGCUUAGGCAGUGGAAAUUUCGGUAACAUGGUCUAGUGGUCAAUGAAGUGGAUUGAAAAUCAUAGGUUCUCAGGUUUAAAUCUCAGCAAAAGCGCAAAUUACUCAAUCCUGACACAGAGAGGUAACGGCAAUAACAAACUCUUAUGAGUCUGGCAAUAACAAUGAGUAUAAUAUGAAUUCCUUAAUGAGGAUUCUUGAGGAGUGU
Non-coding RNA from Solanum lycopersicum (tomato), 1739 nucleotides. Lineage: Eukaryota; Viridiplantae; Streptophyta; Magnoliopsida; Solanales; Solanaceae. The record is from RefSeq and is a predicted model, not a curated record.